This 471-nucleotide ribosomal RNA is filed under the name uncultured bacterium. RNAcentral describes it as "bacterial SSU rRNA". It matches the Rfam family "Bacterial small subunit ribosomal RNA", at positions 1031 to 1502 of the family's 1533-position model. The record is from RNAcentral.
CNCCCUGGUGGUGCNUGGUUGUCGUCCGCUCGUGUCGUGNGNUGUUGGGUUAAGUCCCGCAACGAGCGCAACCCUUAUCCUUAGUUACCAGCAGUAAGAUGGGGACUCUAAGGAGACAGCUAGCGAUAUGCUAGAGGAAGGUGGGGAUGACGUCAAAUCAUCAUGCCCCUUAUGACCUGGGCUACACACGUGCUACAAUGGACGGAGCAAAGCGAAGCGAAAUGGUGACAUGGAGCAAAACGCAUAAAACCGUUCUCAGUUCGGAUUGUAGUCUGCAACUCGACUACAUGAAGUUGGAAUCGCUAGUAAUCGUAGAUCAGCAUUGCUACGGUGAAUACGUUCUCGGGUCUUGUACACACUGCCCGUCAAACCACGAGAGUUGAUAACACCCGAAGUCGGUGGCCUAACCGCAAGGAGGGAUCCGCCUAAGGUGGGAUUGAUGAUUGGGGUUAAGUUUUUUCGAAGUAACCG